Molecule: ribosomal RNA, 253 nt
Filed under: uncultured bacterium
Lineage: Bacteria
Description: partial 16S ribosomal RNA
Rfam family: Bacterial small subunit ribosomal RNA
Source: RNAcentral
UACGUAGGGGGCAAGCGUUGUCCGGAUUUAUUGGGCGUAAAGAGCGUGUAGGCGGCCAGGUAGGUCCGCUGUGAAAACUCGAGGCUUAACCUCGAGAUGUCGGUGGAAACCAUCUGGCUAGAGUCCGGAAGAGGAGAGUGGAAUUCCUGGUGUAGCGGUGAAAUGCGCAGAUAUCAGGAAGAACACCCGUGGCGAAGGCGGCUCUCUGGGACGGUACUGACGCUGAGGUGCGAAAGCGUGGGGAGCAAACAGG